Molecule: long non-coding RNA, 648 nt
Organism: Mercurialis annua (annual mercury)
Lineage: Eukaryota; Viridiplantae; Streptophyta; Magnoliopsida; Malpighiales; Euphorbiaceae
Exons: 3
Source: RefSeq, a predicted model, not a curated record
CACAGAGGUUUAUUAUUAAAAUAGGACAAGUCUGUCCUUCCUUACUAACCUCCUAACCAAAUGUAAAACAAAACGACAACUCCUCUCUUCUUCUUCCUUUCUUUUCCUUCAAAUCAUCACCAUCUUCUCUCAUCACUGUCACAUCAUUGCCGUCGUUCAGCCGCUGCUCCGUUCCGUCGUUCCACCAUUCCGCCGUUACUCCGUUCCGCCGUUACUCCGUUCUGCCAUUCCUCCGCUCUGCUAUUCCUCCAUUCCUCCGCUCUGCAUUCUUCUUAAAACCGACGCUGAGCCUCUGUUUUGGACUUGCCAAGCCAGGCCCUGUAAUGGAAACAUUCGGCUCAGAUGAACUAAUGUCACGUCAUGUGAAAUUGGAUGAAGUUAUUAUUACGAUGGUGCUUAAAUUAGAGCAAAUACGAUGAGUUUUAUGUAGCAUCGAUUAUAGUUCCGUAGUACCGACGCCAUUUGCAGCAGUAGUCAUUGAUUUUUGGAACAUAAAAGGCGGUCGUCGGAGCAUAAGCUAGAUGGCUACCGUUGUUUCCUGAGAUUUGACGGAAGGUUAUCGGUUGAUGUUGAUGACUGCGGCAUCGUUAGUUGUUGUUGGAGCAUAAAUGGAAGCCAUAUGCGGUCGUCGGAGCAGGGCAGGGCGUG